Molecule: ribosomal RNA, 429 nt
Filed under: uncultured archaeon
Lineage: Archaea
Description: bacterial SSU rRNA
Rfam family: Archaeal small subunit ribosomal RNA
Source: RNAcentral
UACCUGCAGCUCGAGUGGUAACCGCUAUUAUUGGGCCUAAAGCGUCCGUAGCCGGUUUGGUAAAUAUCUGGGUAAAUCGUGAGGCUUAACUUCACGAAUUUCGGAUAGACUGCCAGACUUGGGAUCGGGGGAGGUCAGAGGUACUCCAGGGGUAGCGGUGAAAUGUUGUAAUCCUUGGAGGACCACCGGUAGCGAAGGCGUCUGACUAGAACGAGUCCGACAGUGAGGGACGAAGCCCUGGGGCGCAAACCGGAUUAGAUACCCGGGUAGUCCAGGGUGUAAACGAUGUGGGCUUUGUAUUGGAGGUCCCACGUGGGCGUCCAGUGCAGAAGAGAAGUUGUUAAGCCCACCGCCUGGGAAGUACGGUCGCAAGGCUGAAACUUAAAGGAAUUGGCGGGGGAGCACAGCAACGGGAGGAGCGUGCGGUUU